This 440-nucleotide ribosomal RNA is filed under the name uncultured bacterium. RNAcentral's name for it is "partial 16S ribosomal RNA". It matches the Rfam family "Bacterial small subunit ribosomal RNA", at positions 338 to 795 of the family's 1533-position model. The record is from RNAcentral.
CCUACGGGUGGCAGCAGUGGGGCAUAUUGCACCAUGGGGGAAACCCUGAUGCAGCGACGCCGCGUGAGUGAAGAAGUAUCUCGGUACGUAACGCUCUAUCAGCAGGGAAGAAAAUGACGGUACCUGACUAAGAAGCCCCGACUAACUACGUGCCAGCAGCCGCGGUAAUACGUAGGGGGCAAGCGUUAUCCGGAUUUACUGGGUGUAAAGGGAGCGUAGACGGCAGCACAAGUCUGGAGUGAAAUCCCGGGGCUUAACCCCGGAACUGCUUUGGAAACUGUGCGGCUUGAGUGCAGGAGGGGUAAGCGGAAUUCGUAGUGUAGCGGUGAAAUGCGUAGAUAUUAGGAGGAACACCGGUGGCGAAGGCGGCUUACUGGACUGUAACUGACGUUGAGGCUCGAAAGCGUGGGGAGCAAACAGGAUUAGAGACCCGGGUAGUC